AUUGAACGCUGGCGGCAGGCCUAACACAUGCAAGUCGAGCGGAGCGGCGGACGGGUGAGUAAUUCUUAGGUAUCUGCCCAUUCGUGGGGGACAACAUCUCGAACGGGAAGCUAAUACCGCAUCCUAAUAGCUGAGCUUAAGUCGGAUUGGCUCGUUGGUGGGGUAAAGGCCUACCAAGGCGACGAUCUGUAGCGGGUCUGAGAGGCUGAUUCGCCACACUGGGACUGAGACACGGCCCAGACUCCUACGGGAGGCAGCAGUGGGGAAUAUUGGGCAAUGGGGGGAACCCGGAUCCAGCCAUGCCGCGGGUGUGAAGAAGGCCUUAUGGUUGUAAAGCACUUUAAGCGAGGAGGCGUUACUCGCAGAAUAAGCACCGGCUAACUCUGUGCCAGCAGCCGCGGUAAUUC
Molecule: ribosomal RNA, 407 nt
Filed under: uncultured bacterium
Lineage: Bacteria
Description: partial 16S ribosomal RNA
Rfam family: Bacterial small subunit ribosomal RNA
Source: RNAcentral